UACGUAGGUGGCAAGCGUUGUCCGGAUUUACUGGGCGUAAAAAGCGCGCAGGCGGUCGUUCAAGUCGAGUGUGAAAGCCCCCGGCUCAACUGGGGAGGGUCACUCGAUACUGAUCGACUCGAAGGCAGAAGAGGGAAGCGGAAUUCCCGGUGUAGUGGUGAAAUGCGUAGAUAUCGGGAGGAACACCAGUGGCGAAGGCGGCUUUCUGGUCUGCUCUUGACGCUGAGGUGCGAAAGCGUGGGGAGCAAACAGG
This 253-nucleotide ribosomal RNA is filed under the name uncultured bacterium. Its description in RNAcentral is "partial 16S ribosomal RNA". It matches the Rfam family "Bacterial small subunit ribosomal RNA", at positions 524 to 776 of the family's 1533-position model. The record is from RNAcentral.